UGUUCUUCGCCAGUUUCACUUUGAUAUCAAAAUUUUGGGAAAGCUGAAGGAAAUGUCGAGAAGAAUUGGGGGUCCGAGAAGAAUUGAUAAAUGUCAAAGAAUCACGGGCAUUGGUUUGAAGAAGCUGCGGCGCGAUUACGGGAUUCGGUUUGAGUACUGUGCUUGAUAAGGGUUCGGGUUCCUGCCUUGGGUCAUUGAAAGGGGUCACUCAGGGUGUUGUCACAUAAAGUUGUAAGGUAUUAUAAAUAAGCAGCUUAGACACAUUUGAAAGCUUAAUUAAGAUUGUUGACAAUAGGAGAUGCAUAUUAUGAAGAGCAAGUAGGAGCAAUGAUUGACCAAAUGCUUCAACAGGUCCAUGUGCUUUGAGAAGGGCAUGAUUGGGACAAAUUAAAGAACAUGCUAUCCUUUCAGCUGAAGCAG
Molecule: long non-coding RNA, 420 nt
Filed under: Rosa chinensis
Lineage: Eukaryota; Viridiplantae; Streptophyta; Magnoliopsida; Rosales; Rosaceae
Description: sRNA RchiOBHm_Chr5g0032871
Source: RNAcentral